RNAcentral lists this ribosomal RNA (248 nucleotides) under uncultured Leptotrichia sp. Its description in RNAcentral is "partial 16S ribosomal RNA". It matches the Rfam family "Bacterial small subunit ribosomal RNA", at positions 107 to 354 of the family's 1533-position model. Lineage: Bacteria; Fusobacteriati; Fusobacteriota; Fusobacteriia; Fusobacteriales; Leptotrichiaceae. The record is from RNAcentral.
UGAGUAACGCGUAAAGAACUUGCCCUUUAGACUGGGAUAACAGAGGGAAACUUCUGAUAAUACUGGAUAAGUUAGUAUAUCGCAUGAUAUACAAAUGAAAGCUACGGCACUAAAGGAGAGCUUUGCGUCCUAUUAGCUAGUUGGUAAGGUAAGAGCUUACCAAGGCGAUGAUAGGUAGCCGGCCUGAGAGGGUGGACGGCCACAAGGGGACUGAGAUACGGCCCUUACUCCUACGGGAGGCAGCAGGC